This 404-nucleotide ribosomal RNA is filed under the name Actinomycetes bacterium. Its description in RNAcentral is "Actinobacteria bacterium partial 16S ribosomal RNA". It matches the Rfam family "Bacterial small subunit ribosomal RNA", at positions 355 to 776 of the family's 1533-position model. The record is from RNAcentral. Lineage: Bacteria; Bacillati; Actinomycetota; Actinomycetes.
UGGGGAAUAUUGGACAAUGGGCGCAAGCCUGAUCCAGCCAUGCCGCGUGAGUGAUGAAGGCCCUAGGGUUGUAAAGCUCUUUCACCGGUGAAGAUAAUGACGGUAACCGGAGAAGAAGCCCCGGCUAACUUCGUGCCAGCAGCCGCGGUAAUACGAAGGGGGCUAGCGUUGUUCGGAUUUACUGGGCGUAAAGCGGACGUAGGCGGACUAUUAAGUCAGGGGUGAAAUCCCGGGGCUCAACCCCGGAACUGCCUUUGAUACUGGUAGUAUUGAGUUCGAGAGAGGUGAGUGGAAUUCCGAGUGUAGAGGUGAAAUUCGUAGAAAUUCGGAGGAACACCAGUGGAGAAGACGGCUCACUGGCUGGUUACUGACGCUGAGGUGCGAAAGCGUGGGGAGCAAACAGG